CCAUGGGAUCCCAAAUCCCUUCACCUCGGGGAUCCCAAAUCCCUUCACCUCGGGGAUCCCAAAUCACCUUGGGGAUCCCAGAUCCGUUCACCUCGGGGAUCCCAAAUCACCUUGGGGAUCCCAGAUCCGUUCACCUCGGGGAUCUCACUCCUCUCAUCACAUGGGAUCCCAAAUCCCUUCACCUUGGGGGUCUCCUCACAUCCCACGGGAUCCCAAAUCCCUUCACCUUGGGGGUCUCCUCACAUCCCACGGGAUCCCAGGUCCCUUCACCUUGGGGAUCUCCUCACAUCCCAUGGGAUCCCAGGUCCCUUCACCUUGGGAAUCCCAAAUCACCUCGGGGAUCUCACUCCUCCCAUCCCACGGGAUCCCAAAUCCCUUCACCUCAGGGAUCUCCCCUCAUUCCAUGGGAUCCCAAAUCCCUUCACCUCGGGGAUCCCAGAUCCCUUCACCUCAGGGAUCCCAGAUCCCUUCACCUCGGGGAUCCCAGAUCCCUUCACCUCAGGGAUCUCCUCACAUCCCACGGGAUCCCAAAUCCCUUCACCUUGGGGAUCCCAGAUCCCUUCACCUCGGGGAUCUCCUCACAUCCCAUGAGAUCCCAAAUCCCUUCACCUCAGGGAUCCCAGGUCCCUUCACCUUGGGGAUCCCAAAUCUCUUCACCUCAGGGAUCUCCUCACAUCCCACAGGAUCCCAAAUCCCUUCACCAUGGGGAUCUCAUUCCCGUCAUCCCACGCGAUCCCAAAUCCCUUCACCUCGGGGAUCCCAGGUCCCUUCACCUUGGGAAUCCCAAAUCACCUCGGGGAUCUCAUUCCCCUCAUCCCAUGGGAUCCCAAAUCCCUUCACCUCGGGGAUCUCCCCUCAUUCCAUGGGAUCCCAAAUCCCUUCACCUUGGGGAUCCCAGGUCCCUUCACCUCGGGGAUCCCAAAUCCCAUGGGAUCCCAAAUCCCUUCACCUCGGGGAUCCCAGAUCACCUCGGGGAUCUCAUUCCCCUCAUCCCAUGGGAUCCCAAAUCCCUUCACCUCGGGGAUCUCCUCACAUCCCACGGGAUCCCAGGUCCCUUCACCUUGGGGAUCCCAAAUCACCUUGGGGAUCCCAGGUCCCUUCACCUCAGGGAUCUCACUCC
This 1120-nucleotide long non-coding RNA is filed under the name Parus major (Great Tit). Its description in RNAcentral is "lncRNA (ENSPMJG00000002351.1)". The record is from RNAcentral. Lineage: Eukaryota; Metazoa; Chordata; Aves; Passeriformes; Paridae.